AAAGGGUCUUGAGCUGCAUGUAUUUGAAAAAAGGACUUGAGCUAUAUGUUUCUCAAAAUAUAAAGGACUUGAGCUAUAUCUCAUCCUGGGAUAUGAUAAUCGAAAGGUGUUGAGAUAUAUGUUUUUUUCAGAUAAAAAGGACCUGAGCUGUAUGUUCUAAUAAUAUAAAGGACUUAGGCUAUAUGAUCUAAUAAUAAAAGGUCGUGAGCCAUGUGUUUCUCCUAAUAAAAAAAGGAGUUGAGCUAUAUGUUUCUCAAAAUAUAAAGGACUUGAGCUAUUUGAUUUUAUGAUUUUAAUGAAAAACAAGGACUAUAGCUACAUUUUUAUAAGAAUUGAAAGGUCUUUAGCUAUAUGUUUUAAAUAUAAAAAGGACUUCAGCUAUAAGUUUUUCCUAGAUCUUGCUACAGACGGUUUCCCAGUUAGACUUCAGCCUGUAGUUUUUGGUCCAAGCUUUACUCAGUGACUGGCCUGAUGUAAAGUGUAGUAAUCCAGUGUUAUGCUACAGGUAAACUGUGACACAGCAGAGGAAAGGACUGACAGAUGGGGAGCACUGAUAUCCACUUCUCUAUAUAGAACCGAACAGAGGAUGCCUGGGAUAAGAUAACGGAUGCGGAACCUGUGUACGGAGAAAGCAGAAGACGCGACGUGAGCAACAUCAGUCAUGCUAUAGAAGAUUAUGAGGAUC
Molecule: long non-coding RNA, 685 nt
Organism: Eurytemora carolleeae
Lineage: Eukaryota; Metazoa; Arthropoda; Copepoda; Calanoida; Temoridae
Exons: 3
Source: RefSeq, a predicted model, not a curated record